AACCAGCCAUGCCGCGUGCAGGAAGACGGCUCUAUGAGUUGUAAACUGCUUUUAUAUAGGGAUAAACCCGUCUACGUGUAGACGGUUGGAGGUACUAUAUGAAUAAGGAUCGGCUAACUCCGUGCCAGCAGCCGCGGUAAUACGGAGGAUCCAAGCGUUAUCCGGAUUUAUUGGGUUUAAAGGGUGCGUAGGCGGCACAGUAAGUUAGAGGUGAAAUCCGGAGGCUCAACCUUCGAACUGCCUCUAAAACUGCUGAGCUAGAGAUUGGAUGCUGUGGGCGGAAUGUGUAGUGUAGCGGUGAAAUGCUUAGAGAUUACACAGAACACCGAUUGCGAAGGCAGCUCACAAAUCCACUUCUGACGUUGAGGCACGAAAGCGUGGGUAGCAAACAGGAUUAGAUACCCUGGUAGUCCACGCAGUAAACGAUGAUAGCUCGUUGUCGGCGAUACACAGUCGGUGACUUAGCGAAAGCGUUAAGCUAUCCACCUGGGGAGUACGUUCGCAAGAAUGAAACUCAAAGGAAUUGACGGGGGCCCGCACAAGCGGAGGAACAUGUGGUUUAAUUCGAUGAUACGCGAGGAACCUUACCCGGGCUUGAAAGUUAGUGACGGAUGCCGAAAGGUGUCUUCCCUUCGGGGCACGAAACUAGGUGCUGCAUGGUUGUCGUCAGCUCGUGCCGUGAGGUGUCGGGUUAAGUCCCAUAACGAGCGCAACCCCUGCCGUUAGUUGCCAUCAGGUCAAGCUGGGCACUCUAACGGGACUGCCGGUGUAAGCCGAGAGGAAGGUGGGGAUGACGUCAAAUCAGCACGGCCCUUACGUCCGGGGCGACACACGUGUUACAAUGGUCGGUACAGAGGGCAGCUACCCCGCGAGGGGAUGCGAAUCUCGAAAGCCGAUCUCAGUUCGGAUCGGAGGCUGAAACUCGCCUCCGUGAAGUUGGAUUCGCUAGUAAUCGCGCAUCA
This 962-nucleotide ribosomal RNA is filed under the name uncultured Bacteroidales bacterium. Its description in RNAcentral is "bacterial SSU rRNA". It matches the Rfam family "Bacterial small subunit ribosomal RNA", at positions 386 to 1351 of the family's 1533-position model. The record is from RNAcentral. Lineage: Bacteria; Pseudomonadati; Bacteroidota; Bacteroidia; Bacteroidales.